UACGUAGGGGGCUAGCGUUGUUCGGAUUUAUUGGGCGUAAAGCGCGUGUAGGCGGUUUGUUAAGUCUGAUGUGAAAGCCCUGGGCUCAACCCAGGAAGUGCAUUGGAUACUGGCAGACUUGAAUACGGGAGAGGGUAGUGGAAUUCCUGGUGUAGGAGUGAAAUCCGUAGAUAUCAGGAGGAACACCGGUGGCGAAGGCGGCUACCUGGACCGAUAUUGACGCUGAGACGCGAAAGCGUGGGGAGCAAACAGG
This 253-nucleotide ribosomal RNA is filed under the name uncultured bacterium. Its description in RNAcentral is "partial 16S ribosomal RNA". It matches the Rfam family "Bacterial small subunit ribosomal RNA", at positions 524 to 776 of the family's 1533-position model. The record is from RNAcentral.